This 87-nucleotide transfer RNA is filed under the name Elusimicrobiota bacterium. Its description in RNAcentral is "Elusimicrobia bacterium (rhizosphere metagenome) tRNA-Ser". It matches the Rfam family "tRNA". From Rfam's summary of the family: Transfer RNA (tRNA) molecules are approximately 80 nucleotides in length. Their secondary structure includes four short double-helical elements and three loops (D, anti-codon, and T loops). Lineage: Bacteria; Pseudomonadati; Elusimicrobiota. The record is from RNAcentral.
GGAAAGGUGGCCGAGUGGUUGAAGGCGCCAGUCUCGAAAACUGGUAGGGCUUAACGGCUCUCGUGAGUUCGAAUCUCACCCUUUCCG